GCCUCCCUAGUCCAACGGUUAGGAUAAUUGCCUUCCAAGCAAUAGACCCGGGUUUGACUCCCGGUCAGACGCA
This 73-nucleotide transfer RNA is filed under the name Hordeum vulgare. RNAcentral describes it as "tRNA-Gly". The stretch from base 8 to 64 matches the Rfam family "tRNA", at positions 8 to 63 of the family's 71-position model. Rfam says of the family: Transfer RNA (tRNA) molecules are approximately 80 nucleotides in length. Their secondary structure includes four short double-helical elements and three loops (D, anti-codon, and T loops). Lineage: Eukaryota; Viridiplantae; Streptophyta; Magnoliopsida; Poales; Poaceae. The record is from RNAcentral.